RNAcentral lists this ribosomal RNA (273 nucleotides) under uncultured bacterium. RNAcentral describes it as "partial 16S ribosomal RNA". It matches the Rfam family "Bacterial small subunit ribosomal RNA", at positions 524 to 796 of the family's 1533-position model. The record is from RNAcentral.
UACGAAGGGGGCAAGCGUUGUUCGGAAUGACUGGGCGUAAAGGGCGCGUAGGCGGUCGGCCAAGUCAGAUGUGAAAGCCCCGGGCUCAACCUGGGAACUGCAUUUGAGACUGGCUGACUCGAGUUCGGGAGAGGAUGGUGGAAUUCCCAGUGUAGAGGUGAAAUUCGUAGAGAUUGGGAAGAACACCGACGGCGAAGGCAGCCAUCUGGACCGACACUGACGCUGAGGCGCGACAGCGUGGGGAGCAAACAGGAUUAGAAACCCCCGUAGUCC